UGAUUGGUGCUUGCAUCAUGAUUUACAUUUGAGUGAGUGGCGAACUGGUGAGUAACACGUGGGAAACCUGCCCAGAAGCGGGGGAUAACACCUGGAAACAGAUGCUAAUACCGCAUAACAACUUGGACCGCAUGGUCCGAGUUUGAAAGAUGGCUUCGGCUAUCACUUUUGGAUGGUCCCGCGGCGUAUUAGCUAGAUGGUGGGGUAACGGCUCACCAUGGCAAUGAUACGUAGCCGACCUGAGAGGGUAAUCGGCCACAUUGGGACUGAGACACGGCCCAAACUCCUACGGGAGGCAGCAGUAGGGAAUCUUCCACAAUGGACGAAAGUCUGAUGGAGCAACGCCGCGUGAGUGAAGAAGGGUUUCGGCUCGUAAAACUCUGUUGUUAAAGAAGAACAUAUCUGAGAGUAACUGUUCAGGUAUUGACGGUAUUUAACCAGAAAGCCACGGCUAACUACGUGCCAGCAGCCGCGGUAAUACGUAGGUGGCAAGCGUUGUCCGGAUUUAUUGGGCGUAAAGCGAGCGCAGGCGGUUUUUUAAGUCUGAUGUGAAAGCCUUCGGCUCAACCGAAGAAGUGCAUCGGAAACUGGGAAACUUGAGUGCAGAAGAGGACAGUGGAACUCCAUGUGUAGCGGUGAAAUGCGUAGAUAUAUGGGAAGAACACCAGUGGCGAAAGCGGCUGUCUGGUCUGUAACUGACGCUGAGGCUCGAAAGUAUGGGUAGCAAACAGGAUUAGAUACCCUGGUAGUCCAUACCGUAAACGAUGAAUGCUAAGUGUUGGGAGGGUUUCCGCCCUUCAGUGCUGC
Molecule: ribosomal RNA, 807 nt
Filed under: Lactiplantibacillus plantarum
Lineage: Bacteria; Bacillati; Bacillota; Bacilli; Lactobacillales; Lactobacillaceae
Description: bacterial SSU rRNA
Rfam family: Bacterial small subunit ribosomal RNA
Source: RNAcentral